GUUGAACGCUGGCGGCAGGCUUAACACAUGCAAGUCGAGCGGUAACAGAGAGAAGCUUGCUUCUCUGCUGACGAGCGGCGGAUGGGUGAGUAAUGCCUAGGAAUCUGCCUAGUAGUGGGGGAUAACUUGCCGAAAGGUAAGCUAAUACCGCAUACGUCCUACGGGAGAAAGGAGGGGACCUUCGGGCCUUUCGCUAUUAGAUGAGCCUAGGUCGGAUUAGUUAGUUGGUGAGGUAAAGGCUCACCAAGACCGCGAUCCGUAACUGGUCUGAGAGGAUGAUCAGUCACACUGGAACUGAGACACGGUCCAGACUCCUACGGGAGGCAGCAGUGGGGAAUAUUGGACAAUGGGGGGAACCCUGAUCCAGCCAUGCCGCGUGUGUGAAGAAGGUCUUAGGAUUGUAAAGCACUUUAAGUUGGGAGGAAGAGCAGUUAACUAAUAUUUGACUGUUUUGACGUUACCGACAGAAUAAGCACCGGCUAACUUCGUGCCAGCAGCCGCCGCCG
RNAcentral lists this ribosomal RNA (506 nucleotides) under uncultured bacterium. Its description in RNAcentral is "partial 16S ribosomal RNA". It matches the Rfam family "Bacterial small subunit ribosomal RNA", at positions 28 to 523 of the family's 1533-position model. The record is from RNAcentral.